RNAcentral lists this ribosomal RNA (703 nucleotides) under uncultured bacterium. Its description in RNAcentral is "bacterial SSU rRNA". It matches the Rfam family "Bacterial small subunit ribosomal RNA", at positions 9 to 716 of the family's 1533-position model. The record is from RNAcentral.
UAGUUUGAUCCUGGCUCAGGACGAACGCUGGCGGCGUGCUUAACACAUGCAAGUCGAGGGAGAACCACUGAAGGGGUAACCCUUCGGUGGGGAGACCGGCGAACGGGUGAGUAACACGUGGGCAACCUACCUCAGACUUCGGAAUAACCUCGGGAAACCGGGGCUAAUGCCGAAUACGCUGAUCGAACCGCAUGAUUCGAUCAGGAAAGCUCCGGCGGUCUGGGAUGGGCCCGCGGCCUAUCAGCUUGUUGGUGGGGUAACGGCCUACCAAGGCGACGACGGGUAGUUGGCGUGAGAGCGCGAUCAACCACACUGGGACUGAGACACGGCCCAGACUCCUACGGGAGGCAGCAGUGGGGAAUAUUGGGCAAUGGGGGCAACCCUGACCCAGCGACGCCGCGUGCGGGAUGAAGGCCUUCGGGUUGUAAACCGCUUUCAGCGGGGACGAAGCGAAAGUGACGGUACCCGCAGAAGAAGCCCCGGCUAACUACGUGCCAGCAGCCGCGGUAAGACGUAGGGGGCGAGCGUUGUCCGGAUUUAUUGGGCGUAAAGCGCGCGCAGGCGGCCGUGCAAGUCGGAUGUGAAAACCCGAGGCUCAACCUCGGGCCUGCAUUCGAUACUGCUCGGCUAGAGGCAGGUAGGGGAGAUCGGAAUUCCCGGUGUAGCGGUGAAAUGCGCAUAUAUCGGGAGGAACACCGGUGGC